Molecule: ribosomal RNA, 432 nt
Filed under: uncultured bacterium
Lineage: Bacteria
Description: partial 16S ribosomal RNA
Rfam family: Bacterial small subunit ribosomal RNA
Source: RNAcentral
AACGAACGCUGGCGGCAUGCCUAACACAUGCAAGUCGAACGAGACCUUCGGGUCUAGUGGCGCACGGCUGCGUAACGCGUGGGAACCUGCCCUUAGGUUCGGAAUAACUCCCCGAAAGGGGUGCUAAUACCGGAUAAUGUCUUCGGACCAAAGAUUUAUCGCCUUUGGAUGGGCCCGCGUUGGAUUAGCUAGUUGGUAGGGUAAAAGCCUACCAAGGCGACGAUCCAUAGCUGGUCUGAGAGGAUGAUCAGCCACACUGGGACUGAGACACGGCCCAGACUCCUACGGGAGGCAGCAGUGGGGAAUAUUGGACAAUGGGCGAAAGCCUGAUCCAGCAAUGCCGCGUGAGUGAUGAAGGCCUUAGGGUUGUAAAGCUCUUUUACCCGGGAUGAUAAUGACAGUACCGGGAGAAUAAGCUCCGGCUAACUCCGU